Molecule: ribosomal RNA, 433 nt
Filed under: uncultured bacterium
Lineage: Bacteria
Description: partial 16S ribosomal RNA
Rfam family: Bacterial small subunit ribosomal RNA
Source: RNAcentral
AACGAACGCUGGCGGCAUGCCUAACACAUGCAAGUCGAACGAGACCUUCGGGUCUAGUGGCGCACGGGUGCGUAACGCGUGGGAACCUGCCCUUAGGUUCGGAAUAACUCCCCGAAAGGGGUGCUAAUACCGGAUAAUGUCUUCGGACCAAAGAUUUAUCGCCUUUGGAUGGGCCCGCGUUGGAUUAGCUAGUUGGUAGGGUAAAAGCCUACCAAGGCGACGAUCCAUAGCUGGUCUGAGAGGAUGAUCAGCCACACUGGGACUGGGACACGGCCCAGACUCCUACGGGAGGCAGCAGUGGGGAAUAUUGGACAAUGGGCGGAAGCCUGAUCCAGCAAUGCCGCGUGAGUGAUGAAGGCCUUAGGGUUGUAAAGCUCUUUUACCCGGGAUGAUAAUGACAGUACCGGGAGAAUAAGCACCGGCUAACUCCGUG